AGGUUUGAUCCUGGCUCAGGAUGAACGCUAGCUAUAGGCUUAACACAUGCAAGUCGAGGGGAAACGACAUCGAAAGCUUGCUUUUGAUGGGCGUCGACCGGCGCACGGGUGAGUAACGCGUAUCCAACCUGCCCAUCACUUGGGGAUAACCUUGCGAAAGUAAGACUAAUACCCAAUGAUAUCUCUAGAAGACAUCUGAAGGAGAUUAAAGAUUUAUCGGUGAUGGAUGGGGAUGCGUCUGAUUAGCUUGUUGGCGGGGUAACGGCCCACCAAGGCGACGAUCAGUAGGGGUUCUGAGAGGAAGGUCCCCCACAUUGGAACUGAGACACGGUCCAAACUCCUACGGGAGGCAGCAGUGAGGAAUAUUGGUCAAUGGGCGAGAGCCUGAACCAGCCAAGUAGCGUGCAGGAUGACGGCCCUAUGGGUUGUAAACUGCUUUUAUAAGGGAAUAAAGUGAGUCUCGUGAGACUUUUUGCAUGUACCUUAUGAAUAAGGACCGGCUAAUUCCGUGCCAGCAGCCGCGGUAAUACGGAAGGUCCGGGCGUUAUCCGGAUUUAUUGGGUUUAAAGGGAGCGUAGGCCGGAGAUUAAGCGUGUUGUGAAAUGUAGACGCUCAACGUCUGCACUGCAGCGCGAACUGGUUUCCUUGAGUACGCACAAAGUGGGCGGAAUUCGUGGUGUAGCGGUGAAAUGCUUAGAUAUCACGAAGAACUCCGAUUGCGAAGGCAGCUCACUGGAGCGCAACUGACGCUGAAGCUCGAAAGUGCGGGUAUCGAACAGGAUUAGAUACCCUGGUAGUCCGCACGGUAAACGAUGGAUGCCCGCUGUUGGUCUGAAUAGGUCAGCGGCCAAGCGAAAGCAUUAAGCAUCCCACCUGGGGAGUACGCCGGCAACGGUGAAACUCAAAGGAAUUGACGG
This 917-nucleotide ribosomal RNA is filed under the name uncultured bacterium. RNAcentral's name for it is "bacterial SSU rRNA". It matches the Rfam family "Bacterial small subunit ribosomal RNA", at positions 9 to 916 of the family's 1533-position model. The record is from RNAcentral.